This 20-nucleotide non-coding RNA is filed under the name Arabidopsis thaliana (thale cress). The record is from RNAcentral. RNAcentral also lists the same sequence under 1 other name. Lineage: Eukaryota; Viridiplantae; Streptophyta; Magnoliopsida; Brassicales; Brassicaceae.
UGGUGGUGCAUGGCCGUUCU